GACGGAAGGUGCAAGCGUUGCUCGGAAUCACUGGGCGUAAAGAGCGCGUAGGCGGCCCAGUAAGUCCGCUCUGAAAGUCAGAGGCUCAACCUCUGAAUGCGGGUGGAUACUGCUGGGCUAGAGUCCGGAAGAGGCGAGUGGAAUUCCUGGUGUAGCGGUGAAAUGCGCAGAUAUCAGGAGGAACACCGAUGGCGAAGGCAGCUCGCUGGGACGGUACUGACGCUGAGGCGCGAAAGCGUGGGGAGCAAACAGG
Molecule: ribosomal RNA, 253 nt
Filed under: uncultured bacterium
Lineage: Bacteria
Description: partial 16S ribosomal RNA
Rfam family: Bacterial small subunit ribosomal RNA
Source: RNAcentral